This 244-nucleotide unclassified non-coding RNA is filed under the name Hevea brasiliensis (rubber tree). Lineage: Eukaryota; Viridiplantae; Streptophyta; Magnoliopsida; Malpighiales; Euphorbiaceae. The record is from RNAcentral.
UAAAGGGUUAAGAUUCCUAAUUAAUCACAACUAUCUAAUGGUCUAAAUCUUCUAACAUGAUCCAAACACUUUAUAACACUUCUUGAAUUAAAAGAAUACAGAAAAUAGAUCAAAUAUCAAUUAAAACCCAAGAAAAUACAAGAAUAUGUAUAAAUAUACAAUUUCUAAUUAUGGCAGAUUAAUGGUAACAAGAAAUCCGACUUUUUAAAAAUAGUUAUACAUACCUAAAAAUCAUAAAAAAAUU